CUUGGCGGGAGUUUUUGCGUUGGCGGCAGGCGCAGCGGGCUGGAAUGGAUCGUCACCGGCCUGCGCGGCUGUCGCAUGCGAGAUUUUCGAAGAACCAUGCAGGAAGAACACAUUCCAUGAAAGAUAAAGCGGGCCAGAUGCACAAGCCUCUGGAUGUCUUUGAUUUUCCUGAUGAUUCUCAGUUCUCAAGCCUCAGCAGGCUGGGCGAAAAUGAGAAAGAUGAAGACUCCUAUGAAACCUUUGGUUAGUGUUUUCAAUCUAUAUU
This is a non-coding RNA of Odocoileus virginianus texanus, 265 nucleotides long. NCBI's taxonomy places the organism in Eukaryota, Metazoa, Chordata, Mammalia, Artiodactyla, Cervidae. The record is from RefSeq and is a predicted model, not a curated record.